AACGAACGCUGGCGGCAUGCCUAACACAUGCAAGUCGAACGAGACCUUCGGGUCUAGUGGCGCACGGGUGCGUAACGCGUGGGAACCUGCCCUUAGGUUCGGAAUAACUCCCCGAAAGGGGUGCUAAUACCGGAUAAUGUCUUCGGACCAAAGAUUUAUCGCCUUUGGGUGGGCCCGCGUUGGAUUAGCUAGUUGGUAAGGUAAAAGCCUACCAAGGCGACGAUCCAUAGCUGGUCUGAGAGGAUGAUCAGCCACACUGGGACUGAGACACGGCCCAGACUCCUACGGGAGGCAGCAGUGGGGAAUAUUGGACAAUGGGCGAAAGCCUGAUCCAGCAAUGCCGCGUGAGUGAUGAAGGCCUUAGGGUUGUAAAGCUCUUUUACCCGGGAUGAUAAUGACAGUACCGGGAGAAUAAGCUCCGGCUAACUCCGUG
RNAcentral lists this ribosomal RNA (433 nucleotides) under uncultured bacterium. Its description in RNAcentral is "partial 16S ribosomal RNA". It matches the Rfam family "Bacterial small subunit ribosomal RNA", at positions 29 to 507 of the family's 1533-position model. The record is from RNAcentral.